CAUUGUACAGACACAAAACAUCGUGCAAGAUAAGGUUGUGCGGGACAAUCGUCUGGUUAGACGCAUCAGGCUAAUGUUUUUCACGUGGCAGACGUGAGAAGCGAGGUGCCUCUGGCUCCAGGUUCACUGCCACGAGCAUUAUUACGCAAGAAGAGUCUACCGUUCGUUCCUCCUGUUACGCCUUAACCGCGCUUAAUUAAUCGCCUAAUUGCCGACCUGCCAAUUAAACGACCUCUGGUGUUGGCACGAGUUGAGCUCGUCGGAUCAAUUUUCUCCGACUUAUGCAGAUUCCACGGGGGAUCUCUACUAAACACCUCCAAAUAUACGCACUAAGCAUGCGCAUUUUAAAGUUUAAAGAUGUAUUUUACCAAUGACUAUAAUUUGAUUUAAACGCUUCCCACUGGGAAAUUGAUAAUUCUCGUGGAUGCUAAUACAAGAGGAAUUAUGCAGAAGAAUGGAAAUAUAAGUCCACAGUGCAGUGGAUAUCAUGCAAUUGAAUAAUAACAGAAGAAUCGCUGAGAAGAAUAACAAAAAGAAAUGUGAACUGCGGCCUAGAACCAAACGUUGCUACGAAAUUUGUUACAAUUUUUACCAAUAAUGAAAUCCCCAUCAAAAUUUUCGGAAUCCAACAGAACGACAUAAUCACGAUCACUAUGAUCUGUCUAAUAAACCGCAAGUGAUAUGCCAUCGACAGAAUUCAAGGUUUCACAAAAUUUGUCACAACUCAAUCCCGAGGAAGCGAGAAAGCUGUGAACGUAAAAGCGCACCAAUUU
Molecule: long non-coding RNA, 773 nt
Organism: Eufriesea mexicana
Lineage: Eukaryota; Metazoa; Arthropoda; Insecta; Hymenoptera; Apidae
Exons: 4
Source: RefSeq, a predicted model, not a curated record